Long non-coding RNA from Oxyura jamaicensis (ruddy duck), 4693 nucleotides. RefSeq lists it as uncharacterized. The record is from RefSeq and is a predicted model, not a curated record. The transcript has 3 exons. Lineage: Eukaryota; Metazoa; Chordata; Aves; Anseriformes; Anatidae.
CUCAAGAGACGUUUGGACAGUGCCCUCAUUGCUAUGCUUUAACUUUUGGUUAGCCCUGAAGAGGUCAGGCAGUUGAACUCUGAUCUUUGCAGGUUCCUUCCAACCAAACUGUUCUUCUCUCCUCUUCUCAAGUGGUGUCUUCCACUGGAAUUUUACUGUUUUCUGUCUCGGCAGUAUGAAUGUCCCAAACCUCCAGAUUCUUGUGACAAUUCUAUCCCUUUUCUUAACGAAAUGAUCCUGCCUCUUAUCUCCACUUCUGUGGAAUUCAGUUGCUCAAAGAAAGACAUACAGCCUCUGUUUGAGAGACCCAGAUUACUCAUGAAUUCUGUGCUUUGUUUCUUCUUCUUUCUCUGUUGUCACCAUUUUCUUCCAGAAAGCUUUUCUUGUUCCUUAGUUAAAUCUUUUGCAAAGCCAGCUUCCCUUUUUUCAGUACUACGUGGUUGAAACCAGUCAGAUUUUGAGUUUAACAAAAAUGGAGUAUGAUGUUUGGGGACACCACUGCCAGAAAAGUGUCAGCAAACUGGGAAGAGUUCAGUGCAGGAGCAUUGAGGUGAAAAGGGGCCGGAGCACUUGGCACACAAGGAGAAACCAGGGAAACUGGGCUUGUUAAGCCUCAUGAGGAGGAGGAGGAUUGCGGAAGGGGGUGGUCUAAUAGCAGCCUUCUACCACCUGUGGAGAGAUUAUAGAGAAGAACUACACUUUUCGUGGAGGUGCACAGAAAAAGGAAUAAGAAGUGAUGAGCACAACAUGCAACAAGGAAGAUCUGACCUGGGCAUAAUGAGGACAACUCUUUACCAAGAGAGUGGUGCAACUUUGAGAUAGAGUCUGGAGAGGUUGCGGACACUCCAUCCUGGGAGAUUUCAAAAUUUGACUGCAUGAUACCUUGAGCAGCCUAAUAUAGUUUUGAGAUUAGCCUUGCUUGAGACAGAAAGUUAGGCCUAAUGACCUUCAGAUGUGCCUUUCAAUCUAAAUUUUUUUCAUAGUUCUCUAUAAUUGCUAAGAAGACAGCAUUUCAGUACCUGGAAGUUCAGUAAAUUGCAGUUACUUCUCAUGUCAACUCUGAGCUGUAACAAGAUAUUCAGCUCAAAAUUCUGUCAGCAAAUCUCUUCUUAAAAAUGGGUAUUUUUUAAUAUCUAGAUAAUUCACAAAGGAGGACUGAUGGGUAUAGGUGCAUAAAGGUGGUUGGCAAUUUUUUUUUCCAGGUACUUUAGAAGUACCACGUCUCAUUGUUACUGUUUUGAAAUGCGAGAAUGUAAAAGGUUGCUGUAAGCAUUCACCAGAUUAAUGAUAUAAACAUAUUGGAUGUAAGUUAGGAUAUAAGUUUGCCUAGUAUUAAGUGAUAUAUACAAAUAGGCCUGGCUAUUUUUUUUCCUAACCUGGUCAGGUAGUUCUUUAUUAUAAAAGACAUCACUUUGGAAACAUUGCCUACUAAACAAUCCUUAUUGUAUUUGACGUCUUCAGUUAAAAUAGUAAUGUUUUAGGUGGAGAGAGGGGACUAGGAGGAAUUAAGAGUAUCCAGUUCUUGUUGUUUUUUUUUUUUUGAUUUGCAUUGUUAUUCACUUUUCUAGGACGACUGUACUGUCUGCUUGCAGCCCAAUUAUCUGAAUUGUACAGGUACAGUGCAUGCUUGCUGAAAAAGAAAAUAUAGCUUCCUUUAACCCCUGCUCCUUCACCCAGCAUAAUGCCACAACUUGGUACAAUCAUUUCUCCUUAAUUUAUUCUGAAUUUUAAUCCUGUUUCCUCUAUGUUUUGCCUUGCUUUCUGUCUGUUUCUUUUUCAUUUUACUAGUAUUUUAAUAUCUGUUUUCUGCGGAAUUGCUGAGGACAGCAAAGACAAUCUACAGAGUAUCAAUGAGCAACUUGACAGCAUAUGUACUCACAAUACAGUACACCCAAAAUGUUGCUUUUUGGCUGUUAAAUACUUUUAAAAUUUUCUUUCUCUGAUUUCUCAGGUAAAGAACAUCUCCACAUCUAGAUAAUUUUGUUAUAAUAAAUGGCAUUUUGAAUCCAUCAUUAUUUUUAGGCUUCUGACAUUGUUGUUGAAAGUAAGCAUCAGAAUUUUUCAGAGCAAAAAUCAGAGCUGCUUUAAUACUACUCAUCCUCUGCUGCGGAAGACCUGUUAUCUGAAAGACUUGGAAAUAGAUAUUGGAAAUUUAGGGGCGUAAGAUUGCAUUAAAAUUUAAACUUACUUUUUUAGACUUUUCUGUAGUAGUUCACUGCACCAGAUCAUGCUGUUGGUCAGUGCUUUUCUUCAUUGAAGAAGAUCAGUUCAGUAUUUAGUCUCUAAAACAUACCUACUUAAUGUUGGUUUCAUCCUGUAACUUCUCAGAGAGAUCUGUUCCCAUAAAUCAAAGUUCUCUAAAAUCAUAUUUUAAUGUAGAACUGAAUUUGAGCAAGCAUGUAGAUGCAUGGUUUCAAAACAGCUAUCCAUGGUAAAAAGACAUUAAAUUGGCUUGCUUAAGUAAGCAAGAGUUGGAGACUACCUCCCUGUCAUGUCAAACCACCCAAACAUAGAAGGCCUUAAAAAAGAACUGAAAAUUAUAUUUUUUUAAAAGUUAAUUCCAACAGAGAAGCUGGUCAGUCAUCGUAGCCUCUCGUAUGGAACAAAUGUUCCAUUUACUGUGUGAAUUACGAAAGUAAAGUGAAGAGAGAAAGCACACCAGCACACAUGGAAGACUUCUGUCUACAGAUUCGUCUUUGUACUGGACAGCAUCUCUAGAAUCAGAUACUCUGAGAUUUGUAGGAAGGAGCCGGUAGGGAUCAGAAUGAUGUCAUACCCAUAAAAAGGAAAAAAUAAAAAUAAAGAGGCAGAACAUGAGAAUCAAGAUUGAAGAGCUGUUUUUCACAUCUUGCCUGAUACAAUCAAAUGGUAGAGCAAUAUCAUCACUUCUUCAGGGUCUUUAUGUGCAAGACUGAAAGCUUUUCUCAAGCAGAGCAUGUUGUGGAGCUGAAUGGAGGACCACAAGACAAAUUUCAUGUUCUUCUGUUUGACAGUUCAGACCUAACAGGACAGGUCUGUAGAUGCAAGACCAAAGCAUAGCUUAGAGUAGCCCUAAAGCUUCUUUAAGUUGUGCUUGGAAAACAGUUGUUGGACUUGAAAUGUAUUUUAAAAGCAUGUUAAGUUCAUGCCAUCUUUUCUGUAAUUACGGUAUGCAUGGUAUUGUCACAACCAAUGAUUUGACUUCUUCAGUAUUGUUUUUACUUUAAUAAAAUUCCAAAAUAUAACCUUCGUAUGUCUAUUAAUUGUCUGAGUAAACUGCAGUAAGUAGAUCAGGGUUAGCAUGAUGAUGCAGUUGAUAAAAUAUAAAACUAACAAGGUAAAAGAUAAGAGAUUCACAAUUGCUCUGGUAUUCUUAACCAGAUGUAGAGUAUUAUUAAAUUGUACUGCUGUUGUCCUACAAGCUCUGGAUUUACACUUCACUGUGCUAGGUGCUCUACAGAGUCUACCUACACUCAUUACAGCUAUAUGUACAGCUCUCAUGUUCAGUGGUAAAUACUGAUAGUAAUAUAACUAUUUCCAUAAUAAUAGCCCUGGAAACUGUUAUUGUAAACUGAUAGGCAUUUAAAUAAAUGGUUUUUGCUGACCUACAGAACUUGGACACCCUAAUAUGCAGUGCAUUUCUUAGGCAAAUGUUGGUAGUAUAUGAAUGUUGGUAGUUAAAAUGAAUAAAACUAUAAAAGAAGGCAUGUGCUAGUGGUUUCAUGAAAACCUUUCCCAGGAUGUCUCUUACCUGAUUUAAUAGCCAUUUCUCCAGCUGAAGAUGCAAAUAAAAUAAGCAUGAGUGGUGGAGUGCACGUCUAGAAGGAAGAUCAUUUAUAAAUCUGUUUAUUUGUGUCCGUAGUGUUUUUUGUGUUGUUGCAAUAAAACCAUGGAUUUCUUACCUCUUUAGGAAAAGGCAGUAUCUUAUAAACAGCAGGAGAUUGCUUAACCAGAGAACUCGUUUUGAUAUGUGUCUAUAUUGCAAUAUAUCUUAAAUCAGUCAGCUACGAGGGGGUUACUCUAAACAUAUAUUUAGAUAUCUUCUAAUUAGGAAAAUUCAACUUAAAUUUACCUAUGAAGUUGUGUGUAUUCUUUUCCUGGUGUAGGCAUGGAGAGUAAUAGAAUUGUUAAACCAAACAUACAAUAUUCAAUUUAUUAACCUCUUUUGGCAUCUUGAUAAUGAGCAGUGCUUUUAUGUUGUUGCAGGUGGGCUGUCAGAUAUAACUUUAUCUGGUGAUAGCAUAGUUUCUGUAAGGAAGACACACCAGCUUUAAAGUUAAUUUAACUGCGUUUAUUUAUGUUUUAGCAUAGCAAAUCAAACUAUUUCACUCAGUGAGCCAACUUACAAAACUGCCCCCAGUCUUGGGAACUUAUCUGGUAAUUUUUAGUGAAUUUUGGGAUGCCUCCUGAGAAUCAGGAAGGAGACGUUUCAGACAGGUCUCUGACCAAGCAGAUUUUAUGGUACAAAUUAGCAAAAGAUGUUUUAUUUCUCUGGAAAGCUCUCAUUGCAAAUACAAAUUAAGGGUAUCCAGUUCCUUCUUCACCCUGCUUUAUGACAGAGGUGGCUGAUGUACACUGAAUAGUUUGUUCUUGUUGGUUUGGGGAGUCAGGGACAGAACAGGAAAUUAAGGAGCUUUAUGUGAUUGCCUGAUCUUUCUGUAUGACCAGAAGAAUAUCAAGCUAGACUAAUGGUCCUUCUUCCUGAGUCUUGCUC